This 492-nucleotide ribosomal RNA is filed under the name uncultured bacterium. Its description in RNAcentral is "partial 16S ribosomal RNA". It matches the Rfam family "Bacterial small subunit ribosomal RNA", at positions 29 to 507 of the family's 1533-position model. The record is from RNAcentral.
AGUGAACGCUGGCGGUAGGCCUAACACAUGCAAGUCGAACGGCAGCACAGUAAGAGCUUGCUCUUACGGGUGGCGAGUGGCGGACGGGUGAGGAAUACAUCGGAAUCUACUUUUUCGUGGGGGAUAACGUAGGGAAACUUACGCUAAUACCGCAUACGACCUACGGGUGAAAGCAGGGGAUCUUCGGACCUUGCGCGAUUGAAUGAGCCGAUGUCGGAUUAGCUAGUUGGCGGGGUAAAGGCCCACCAAGGGGACGAUCCGUAGCUGGUCUGAGAGGAUGAUCGGCCACACUGGAACUGGGACACGGUCCAGGCUACUACGGGAGGCAGCAGUGGGGAAUAUUGGACAAUGGGCGCAAGCCUGAUCCAGCCAUACCGCGUGGGUGAAGAAGGCCUUCGGGUUGUAAAGCCCUUUUGUUGGGAAAGAAAAGCAGCAGGUUAAUACCCCGCUGUUCUGACGGUACCCAAAGAAUAAGCACCGGCUAACUUCGCG